UACGUAGGGGGCAAGCGUUGUCCGGAAUCACUGGGCGUAAAGCGCACGUAGGCGGCUUUUUAAGUCAGGGGUGAAAUCCUGGAGCUCAACUCCAGAACUGCCUUUGAUACUGAAAAGCUUGAGUCCGGGAGAGGUGAGUGGAACUGCAAGUGUAGAGGUGAAAUCCGUAGAUAUUCGCAAGAACACCAGUGGCGAAGGCGGCUCACUGGCCCGGUACUGACGCUGAGGUGCGAAAGCGUGGGGAGCAAGCAGG
Molecule: ribosomal RNA, 253 nt
Filed under: uncultured bacterium
Lineage: Bacteria
Description: partial 16S ribosomal RNA
Rfam family: Bacterial small subunit ribosomal RNA
Source: RNAcentral